AUCACACCUCCUAGGAGGACCUUGUCCAUCUCAUCCAUAAGCUUCCGCACCAUCUUUCACCAUUCAUCCAAGAAGAGCUCAUAGGAAAUCCAUUACAUAAUAAAAAUCCUGAUAAAUUGUUGGUAAGUUAGAGGACAUUCGGUCGAUUUAACUCUUGAAUUUACAUGUAUUGGAUAAUUUACAUUUUUCAAAUGAUUUAUUGAUGUUUGACCUUUUUGUCACUUGUAUUACUAUAAUAAUUGCUCUAGUAAUUUGGUUGAGCAAAAUGAUGCAUCUCAAGAAUCACGAUUCUGAUUGUUGCCUGCAUGAGAGUAGUGGAUGCCUCAGUUAGCUUUUAUUUACUGUUUUGAAAUGGCUAGGUACGAUCCAGAGUUGUAGCUUUAUGCAUAUCCUAAAUUCUUUUGUUACAAGAUUUUAGCUUUAUGCAUAUCCUAAAUUCUUUUGUUACAAGUUUUUAGCUUUAUACCACACAUUUGGGUCUGGUACAUUUAGCUUCCUUCUAUCUAACGUUUAUAGAAAGAUAUCAAUUAAUUUUGUGUUAUAGGCAAAUUAAUCUAUAAUUUAUCCAAAACUUACAAUUAUUUCCCAGAAUUCUGUUGAUUAUGCUGUUGUUGGAGCAAUAUCAAAACUAGUUGCAAUACUGCUAACCUAUCCAUUUCAGUUACAAAUGUUUGACCCAUCUCUUAUGAAUGAGAAUUCUAGCUUCAUUCCUUAAUAUGAGUAAUUGAAGAAUUUUCUUUCUUCUAAGUCAUGCUCCCUCCCUCCCUUUAUUUCAGGUUAUGCGGUCUUGCUUGCAGGUACAAGAAUGUCAUUACAAGAUAUAAAUAUUACAUAUUCAUUCUCAUUUAACUUGGCAUCUCUACAUCUUUAUCUGAUAUGGACUGAAAUUUCUAUCUCUACAGCAAUGACCUAGUGGUGCUGGGAUUCUUUAAGAUAUAUGGAUACUUGGCAUGUUGUGAAAGAAACUGCACGGUAACUACAUAUUAAAAACACAUAUGCUUACAUUAAUUAGAAAUUACUACUCAUUGGGUCGAAAUGGGAUUCCACUCAUUAGUUUGGUUACAUUUAUAUAUGUUUCUAUUUGUGUUUUAAGGCACAUGUCUAUAUAUUAAUGGGUGAUGCUGUCUGCUUAGGUUCAAAUUAAAAGUUUGCGGCAAGAUUUGGUUUGCAAAUUGGUGUUUCACGAAGACAACAUCCAUCGUGAACAUUUGCUGUCAGAUUUGGACUUGAGGGCAGAAAAAUGUGACGUCUUGCAAUGCUGAGUUAUUAUGAUAGGAUACAGGGUUGAACCUGUAAAUCACAUUUUGACCUUAUAAUUGUUAAAUGUUUUUAGACAUUGGUUGGCAUUGUAUUGGCAGAAUUAUAGAUAUUUAAGACAUACAAUAACUAUUUUAUGUAAUGUUAUAUUUGUAUAAAUGUAAAUUGAUUCGAAAUGUCAGUUUUAAUUUAAUGUUUGAGUACAUGGA
This 1466-nucleotide long non-coding RNA is filed under the name Phaseolus vulgaris (common bean). RNAcentral describes it as "long non-coding RNA (PVUL_LNC000978)". Lineage: Eukaryota; Viridiplantae; Streptophyta; Magnoliopsida; Fabales; Fabaceae. The record is from RNAcentral.